Molecule: ribosomal RNA, 300 nt
Filed under: uncultured bacterium
Lineage: Bacteria
Description: bacterial SSU rRNA
Rfam family: Bacterial small subunit ribosomal RNA
Source: RNAcentral
GACGAACGCUGGCGGCGUGCUUAACACAUGCAAGUCGAGCGGUAAGGCUCCCUCGGGAGUACACGAGCGGCGAACGGGUGAGUAACACGUGAGCAAUCUACCCUUCACUUUGGAAUAACUUUCGGAAACGGAAGCUAAUACCAAAUACGACCACCGAAGGCAUCCUUGGUGGUGGAAAGUUCCGGCGGUGGAGGAUGAGCUCGCGGCCUAUCAGCUUGUUGGUGGGGUAAGUGGCCUACCAAGGCGACGACGGGUAGCCGGCCUGAGAGGGUGACCGGCCACACUGGGACUGAGACACGG